This 4437-nucleotide long non-coding RNA is filed under the name Sorghum bicolor (sorghum). RNAcentral's name for it is "long non-coding RNA (SBIC_LNC018125)". The record is from RNAcentral. Lineage: Eukaryota; Viridiplantae; Streptophyta; Magnoliopsida; Poales; Poaceae.
CACUAGAGAGGCUUUUGCAAACUUUAUCAGAUUUUUUCAGCUACAUUUGUUAGUUGCGGUGUUGUACACGAACGUCUGCCGCUUCUUCCUCUUCUUUUGCCAAAAUUAUUUUUACCUUUUGUUUUCUCAGAAUUUUUUAUUUGUUAAGGGGGCACGAGGGUUGUAAAGGGAGAUCUCCUUCGAUUUAUUUCAAAACGGCAGGUUCACUUUGGGUACCAAAUGUUUGCCGUGCGUAUCUCCUAUGUGGCUGUUCUCCAGCAGGUUGCCUAUUGUUGCUCUCUUCCUUACAUAUCUGGUAUACAUGAGAUUCUUCAAGAUGGUGCCUCCUUAUAUGGGAUUGAGGUUGAGUUGCCUGGUUUAUGUUGCCGGUUCAAUUCACGAACACUUUUUUUUUGGGCAAGCUCUGGUAUGGAACGUUCUGCGGCUUAUGAAGCAGCUGCUUUGCAAGCACUACUGGUCUUACAAGAUAUAUUUGGUUUUGUCAUUUUGGACUACAGUGUUCAUGGACUGAUAUUAUACAGAAGUCUAGCCCAAUCCCUUCUUCCUGUAGCUAAUAGAGGCGUUCAGUUAGCCAGGUUUGUAAUCAAUAGUUCUCUUGAAGGAGUUUCAUAUGAUCCGUCCUUGCUAAGUUUGGCACAGCAGUUGGUGCAUGACCUCAGUGCUAUGCCUACUGCUGCUUGCAAUUUGUAUCCUGGCUAUUUGUAGCAAUGAAAUGUUUCUAUGUUUCGUGUUUUUCGUACAGAAUGUAAUCCGCUAAAUUUUCAGUCAUGUUGAUAUUUUACAUAUUCGGAGUUUGUUACAUUCAGCUUACCUGUUUGGUUCCUGCUUUUGGAGCCAUACAGUACUCCGUAACUACAUAUAUGUAAAUAUGUGGUUUAGGUUCUUCUGUAAUGUAUACAACGAUUGUAUCAAGGAACGUGGUCAAAAAAGAUUUCUCUUUUACAGUUGCUGUCCGUUUUGAACGAUCUUCUCAGUUUGUCUUCUUCUUUUGGGUUUUCACAAGAACCUCUAUAGUUUUACGUUAUCAUUGGUCUUUAAAAAAACUCUUGUACUUUGAUUUUUGUUUUAAAAUGUGUGUAUAGCCUGUUCAGUUCCAUGGUGCCGCUUGCUGCUGACUUUCUAGGAUCAAAUGGAUGAUCAACAGUUAUGUAUGUAUCAUUUAGACUAAUCGUGGUAGUGUAUAUUGCUUUUCUUUGUGCCUUGUUAUGUGUCUGUAUAUUAACUGUAUAUAUUUAAAUCUGGCAGUUUCCGCAUCGGUGUCUGAUCCCACCUUUGCGCCAGACUAUUCAACCUUACACCGCGCAGGAGAUUGUAUGUAUUCUCCCGCGGCUAUUAUAUUAUGUAUUUUUCCUUCCUAUGUUUUUUGUGCCAAUAUUGACCAUGUCCUCACCAACUGUCGACCUCAGCGUUGCUGAAUAUAGAUACCACUGUCCCAGUUGCUGCAACACUGUCACGUGUACGAAACAGUACGUGCCUCCUGCUGGAUAAUGAGUCUUCCUUUCCUUGUUUUUUGUAUUCUUAAGGUCUGGUUAUACCAUGUCCAUUGUUGUCUUAACAACAGGGCCCCAUAAUGUGGCACCACAUUCUGAUCCCACAACUUCUAGACAAAAAAGAAGAAGACUCUUAGAUCAACAUCGCUUGGUCUGGGCAGGUAACAUUGCUGGUUAUCUGCGUCCUUUCAAAACCUACACACACUAUAACCUGUUCAUCCUAUGGUACACAUUUGUCUCUGUGUGCCGUAAUAGUUAAGUCCUAAAAAAUGUUUUCCAAAUUACAAUAGGAGGCCCCUGGCAUGGUACUGAUCAUCUCACGUGUGGUCAAUUUGACGAAGCCUUUAUCGAUGCUCUUAAAGGUAUAUGUUUCAGCACUUUCUCAGCCUUUUUGACCUUUUUCCAUAGUCUCGCAGUUCCCAUGGUAUUCCUGUUUUCUUAGUGAUUUCAUUUGCUUCAGUCAUAUGACGGCCUGUCUUUCCCUAUUUUGUUCUCUAUUCUUCACAAACAGUAUCCUAUCGAGAAAGAUCCUACUAUGGUCGGCCAGAUUAUGAGUGCCCGCAUUGUCAAGCAGUAUUUUGGCACGCCGAAAGAAUUGGUCGUGAUUCAAGCCAACGUUCUGGUAGAAUAGUGUACAACAACUGUUGUAGAGGUGGCAAAGUUGUUAUACCGCGUUUUUUGGCACGGCCAGAGCCGUUGGCUUCAUUAGCAACGUUUGAUGGGGACUCUACAUCCAAAAAGUUCAUGAAGAACAUAAGGCAGUACAAUUGUCUUUUUUCAUUCACAUCAAUGGGGGCCAACAUUGAUCGGACAAUGAAUGAUGGCCGUGGGCCUCCUGUUUUUAAGAUUUGUGGCCAAGUUCAUCACCGGAUUGGCUCCCUACUUCCUCAAGAUGGAUCUCCUCCUAAAUUUAUUCAGCUAUAUGUAUAUGAUACAUCUAAUGAGGUUCAAAAUAGAAUGCGUUCAUUAUCACAUGAUGAUGUAAGGGCUUCUGAUCUAGAUUCUUCUAUAGUUCAGUCGUUGAUAUCCAUGCUUGAUGAUUGUAAUCCAUUGGCAAGGCAAUUUAGAAUGGCCAGGGAAAGGUUAGCCGAUCAUGAUGAUGAUGACCAAUUUGUGGUUCGAAUUGUUGCGCCUAGAGAUGGGGAUCCUCCUUAGUAUAGCUUACCAACGGUUGAUCAGUUAGCUAUGCUUGUCGUUGGUGAUUUUACUCCAGACGCUUUUGAGCGUGACAUUAUUAUUGAAACACAGUCAAAUGAGUUGAAGCAAAUAUCAGCUCUUCAUCCUGCCUUUAUGGCUCUUCAGUAUCCAUUACUGUUCCCAUUUGGUGAGCGUGGGUUCCAGCCUGGGGUUUUGUAUGCAGGUGCAAGAGCAAGUCAACGAAAUUCAUACACAAAGGUUACCAUGCAAGAUUAUUUUUGCUACAUGUUCCAUUAUAGAAAAAACCAACCAAAUCCUUAUCUCUCCUAUGGUGCCCUGUCUAGCCAGCCAAAGGUGGAUGCUCGUGCCUGUGUUGAUGAAAAUAGACUAUGGUAUAUAAUGAAAAACCAGAAAGACAUUCGGAUGGAAAGUAUCCAGGGUAUUUGUGAUGCUAUUAGCAGAGGCUGCACCGAGGGUGCUGAGAUGGGGAAAAUGACGGUAUUACCAGCAUCACAUACAGGAGGUCGACGUUAUAUGAUACAGAACUAUCAUGAUGGGAUUGCCAUUUGUCGAGAAUAUGGUCCUCCUGAUUACUUUGUGACUUUCACAUGUAAUCCUAAGUGGUUGGAGAUCAGUGAGGCUAUGUUUGAGAUUGGUCAAAAACCAAAUGAUAGGGCUGAUAUCAUUGUUAGAGUCUUCAAUAUGAAACUAGAAGAACUUUUGCAUGAUAUAAAAAGUGGUCGUGCUUUUGGACCAUGCAACGCAGGUGCUGUUCUUAUCUAAUCUGCUAUGUCACUUACACAUUAAUAGAAACCGCUGCUAGGUCCAGUUGAUUACAUUAUCUGUACAAAUAUACUCCAUUGACCUGCCCUAGGUUUCUCAUAGUCCUCAUUACUAAGUUACGAUGGUUUCACUUAAUUCCAAUAGACUUAUCCAUCUGAGCUCAUGUUCUUCGACUUGCAGUUUUGCACACUGUCGAAUUUCAGAAACGGGGUCUCCCGCAUGCACAUAUUAUCUUAUGGACCACAGCGGACACAUCAGAUCCAACACCUACAAUGAUUGAUUCUUAUGUGAGUGCUGAAAUACCAGAUCCAAAAGACGAUCCACUUGGUUAUGCUCUUGUUGCCGAACACAUGAUUCACGGACCUUGUGGUUCACAAAAUCCAGCCUGCCCUUGCAUGAAAGAUGGCAGAUGUUCCAAACAUUUUCCAAAACCAUACCAUGAAGAAACUUCAGUGAAUUCUAAUGGGUUUGCCAUGUACAAACGCCGUGAAAAUGCUCUUUAUAUAAACAAAGGCGGUGUACAUAUGGACAAUAGAUGGGUUGUUCCAUAUAAUAUGACUCUUCUUAAGAAAUAUCAGGCUCAUAUAAAUGUUGAGUGGUGCAACAAGAGCACUUUCAUUAAAUAUUUGUUCAAGUAUGUAACAAAGGGUGCUGAUUGUAGUAAGGUAUAUCUUGAAAGAAUAAGAAGAGCAGAGUCUGCUCCUUAUGAUAGAGAUACAGACACAGUUAAUGAGGUUAGGGAGUAUCUUGAUUGUCGCUACAUUUGUGAGCAGGAUGCGUGUUGGCGAAUAUUUGGCUAUGAUAUUCAUAGACACUAUCCAGCGGUAGAAAGAAUGCCUGUGCAUUUACCUAAUGAGAAUUUUAUUACCUUUAGUGCUAGAAGUAGAAUGGACAGAGUUGUUUCCGAAGAAUUUCUAAGGAAAACCAUGCUGACAGAAUGGUUUAUAUGCAAUCAGCAAAACCCUGAUGCUCGGAACCUUACAUAUCCACAGUUUCCUUCAAGAUGGAAAUGGGAACAUAAAGAUCG